Molecule: ribosomal RNA, 970 nt
Filed under: Flavoparmelia caperatula
Lineage: Eukaryota; Fungi; Ascomycota; Lecanoromycetes; Lecanorales; Parmeliaceae
Description: eukaryotic LSU rRNA
Rfam family: Eukaryotic large subunit ribosomal RNA
Source: RNAcentral
GGGAUUGCCUCAGUAACGGCGAGUGAAGCGGCAACAGCUCAAAUUUGAAAUCUGGCUCCUCUCGGGGUCCGAGUUGUAAUUUGUAGAGAGUGUUUCGGGGGAGACCGCGGUCUAAGUCCAUUGGAACAUGGCGUCAAAGAGGGUGAGAAUCCCGUCUGUGACCGCGGAUCGAGCCCAUGUGAAGCCUCUUCGACGAGUCGAGUUGUUUGGGAAUGCAGCUCAAAAUGGGUGGUAAAUUUCAUCUAAAGCUAAAUACUGGCUGGAGACCGAUAGCGCACAAGUAGAGUGAUCGAAAGAUGAAAAGCACUUUGGAAAGAGAGUUAAACAGUACGUGAAAUUGUUGAAAGGGAAGCGCUUGCGACCAGACCUGCCCGUGGGCGAUCAGCCGCUGUUCUCAGCGGUGCACUCGUUCCACGAUCAGGCCAGCAUCGGUUUCGGCGGUCGGAUAAAGGCCUUGGGAAUGUAGCUUCCCUCCGGGGGAGUCUUAUAGCCCUUGGUGCAAUGCGGCCAGCCGGGACCGAGGACCGCGCUUCGGCUAGGAUGCUGGCGUAAUGGUCGUAAGCGACCCGUCUUGAAACACGGACCAAGGAGUCUAACAUCUAUGCGAGUGUUUGGGUGUUAAACCCAUGCGCGGAAUGAAAGUGAACGGAGGUGAGAACCCUUAAGGGCGCAUCAUCGACCGAUCCAGAUGUCUUCGGAUGGAUUUGAGUAUGAGCAUAGCUGUUGGGACCCGGUAUGUCUUUUACUCCUGCAUCACAUCCCUCUAUUGUAUGAAAUUUGCUAACAGUUUGAUUUUAGAAAGAUGGUGAACUAUGCCUGAAUAGGGUGAAGCCAGAGGAAACUCUGGUGGAGGCUCGCAGCGGUUCUGACGUGCAAAUCGAUCGUCAAAUUUGGGUAUAGGGGUGAGUUUUUGAAUUGUUUCUGUUACAACUUGAUAUAAUACUGACUUGUUCUAGGCGAAAGACUAAUC